UACUCUCUGUGUUGGAACUUGCAAUUCCCUAGGAAUUACACAUUGGUAUAGGCAUAUGAUGGAGGAAUUUUGAAGAUUUACUACUGCCAAAAAGACAGACACAGGAACCUGAAGAUGCAGUGUGGAAGAGGCAUGCAUGCAAAGGACAGAAGCUGGAGAUGGGUCAGCUGUCAGUCAAAUGAAGAUUCUAUUUGGAAUGUUACCGGGAAAAGCAGUUUGGAGCCAACCCAAUGUUUACACUGCUGGAUGACCAGGGCCAUUUUGGCGCUAUGAUUCUCCUGCCAUUCUUCUAGGCUGAUAAGCUGAAGAAGAGGAUGCCACCAGGGCCUUCUCAGCGGCCUUCCUGGAAUGAAACUUCUGCUUUCCUUGGGUCAUGUCCAUGAUUCUCGACCCUAGAAAGGGAACCUGGAAUGAAUAGGAGCUGGCAGGAUGCAUUGUACAUCAGUUUGGAAUGUGCAGGGGCCAACAGGAUACAGCAUGCAGUGUGUCAGUAUGCCGGAGGGCUGAUGGGAUACCCACAAAUACCUUUCAAUAUCUCUUUGCUUCAGGAUUUACUCAGGUUGUCCU
Molecule: long non-coding RNA, 567 nt
Filed under: Monodelphis domestica (gray short-tailed opossum)
Lineage: Eukaryota; Metazoa; Chordata; Mammalia; Didelphimorphia; Didelphidae
Description: lncRNA (ENSMODG00000048251.1)
Source: RNAcentral